RNAcentral lists this ribosomal RNA (426 nucleotides) under uncultured bacterium. RNAcentral describes it as "partial 16S ribosomal RNA". It matches the Rfam family "Bacterial small subunit ribosomal RNA", at positions 354 to 796 of the family's 1533-position model. The record is from RNAcentral.
GUGAGGAAUUUUCCGCAAUGGGCGAAAGCCUGACGGAGCAAUGCCGCGUGAAGGAUGAAGGCCUAUGGGUUGUAAACUUCUUUUCUCAGAAAAGAAUUAUGACGGUAUCUGAGGAAUAAGCAUCGGCUAACUCUGUGCCAGCAGCCGCGGUAAGACAGAGGAUGCAAGCGUUAUCCGGAAUGAUUGUGCGUAAAGCGUCUGUAGGUUGUUUAAAAAGUAUUCUGUCAAAGAUUAGGGCUUAACCCUAGAUAGGCAGAAUAAACUUUUAAGCUAGAGUUUGGUAGAGGCAGAGGGAAUUCCCGGUGGAGCGGUGAAAUGCGUAGAUAUCGGGAGGAACACCAAAGGCGAAGGCACUCUGCUGGGCCAAUACUAACACUGAGAGACGAAAGCGAGGGGAGCAAAUGGGAUUAGAUACCCGUGUAGUCC